UUAACAUAGAGAAGAAUGUAACAGCGGUGCGAGGCGGAAAUAUCUCCCUCCCCUGUGAUUUCUCUGUUCCUGCACAUGCAGUCUACUGGUACAAACACGACUUCACUGGAGCACCAGCUGACGGAGCAUCACUCGUAGCCCGAGACUAUCAAGGUAUAACAGAUCCUGUACCGGGCUUUGAGAGGUUCAGCAUCACCAGGGAUUACAGUUUGAUCAUCAAAAACAUCAUUGUUCACGACGAGACAACCUACUCAUGCUUAGUUGUUGAGCUUGAUACCUUGGAUGUUGGUGAGGAAAGAGGCUAUACGGACUUGAGAGUUAUAGCUUUAGCAGAGCCCCUUGAACCGAUCAUCGAGAUCAUCGAGCCCUGUACUUUCACAGCGCAAGGGGGAUGUAUCUACCAUGUUAAUAGGCCUACUACUGAUGGGGACACGUCGGAGGAUGUAAUACUUGUUUCUAAGCUUUUCAAUAUUCGACCUCUACCAAAAUUGAUUUGGAUUGGAAGCGAUGGAAGAUUACAUGAACAUGCAACUCACCAGACGCAGGAGAAAGACGGGCUGUUUAACAUUUCAUUACAACUUCAGGUAUCCAAGUCGCAUCUUGAUCACAACUAUACCUGUCAAGCUAAAGGGGAAGCCGUGAAUGGAACCUCAUCAGUAGAUAUUUCUUUUGAGGAUUCUGCUACACAUGGUAGGAUUGUUCUUUUUCAAUUCAAUUCAAUUCAAUUUAUUUUUCUCAGUAUAAAAACAAUACAAAUAGUACAAACAUGAAAUAAAUCAGACAUGGACAUAAAUAAAGUAGUAUACUGAAAGGGUAGCAGCCAAAAAGAAGUUAACCUUAUGUACGGCCGACCCAAAUAAAAUUAUACAUUAUUUGAACAAUUAAAGUAGAAAAGGGGAAAGAAUUACCUAACUAACCCAAACAAACAACCAGAAUGAUAAUUACGUAAAAAUGAAUAAGUAGUGAUGAUUUUAUAUUUACAAUUUCUCCUAAAAUUUAGUUUUGAAAUAAUUUUGUUCUUACUUUAGGUAUAUGAAAAUCAUUAUUUCCCCUGGUUGUAUAAUUAUGUACAUUACGAUUUAAAACAAAAUAAUUACAUAUUGACUGAGGUAAAAUAUAUUUAUAACACUUGUACAUAAAAAUUGCAGUCUCAUAAUUGUAAAAGUCAUAAAAUUUCAAAAUCCUCUGAGACUUAAAAAUUUGUUCAUCUAUUGGAAUAAAUAAAUUUCGUACAGUCUUUAUGUUCGACCUCUUCCAAAACCAUUUUCCAAUGUUCUUAAGACAACCACUUAUCUUAUAAAGUGGUGAUCGGUUGUACAUCCAUUCGAAGGAUAUACGUUUACCUCAGUGAGGGAGAUAUCCAAAACGAUUCAAGCUCUCCGAUUGGAUAAAACUAUACAAUCACUCACUUUUGGAGUAAGUCAUGGUAAAAUUAUGUACAAAUCAUGUAUUCACUUGAUUUAAUCAGUGAAUGACAAGUAGCUAAUGGUAUGAACGGUUCGUCAUAGUACGACACACAUUUUCUUACCAAAAAACGGAUCUAUUAAUUGUAAAAUCGGAAGAGUACUUUUAAAACAACCACUUCCCUCGUCAUAGUAACAACAACGCCAACUGUCAUUGUGAAUCGGGCCAAGAACGAUUCAAAACACAACCACCAUCUUUGUGCGCUUUAGACCCAAGCCAUGCAAAGCCCUACAAGGCCUGGUCACACCGCCCGAGCGUUGUUGGAGCGGUCGUGGAGCGGAGAGAAAAAAUCAUCACCGCUCGCUACCGUUCACAACCGUUUAACCAAAGUUGGCCUUCGUUAAGGCAACGCCGAAUAUACUCGGCCACGGCUGAUGGUCCCUCCUACCGCUCUGAAAGUUUUGAGCUGCUCAAAAUAUUGCAAGCGGUGAGCGGGCAAUUUUCUACACCAGCAAAGUUGACUACCGCUCUAACACACGUACGUUCAUCCCUCCAACUCAGUGUAAAAAGUGGGCGGAGCUUAAUCGGAUUUUCGGGCCUAGCAACCCUGUUAGCAACGCCUGUUAGCAUCGUUUGGCUCAAUCUCCAUAAUGUCUGCGAUAUUAAAAUCCUACAAACUGAUGGAAUUAUUCAAAUUUAGUAAGGCUAUGAAUGUUUAUCAUUUACACUGACUAUCGGUGUACAAACUCAUACCGAAUUUAAAGGCAAUUGCCGGUUAUAUUACGAAUUAUCAGUCAUUUUGAUGAGUGAUGCAAAGUGCCAAAAUUUAUGAAAAUAUAGCGUAAAUUUUAUAUAGCAUUUCAAAAUCCUUAUUUUCA
Molecule: long non-coding RNA, 2282 nt
Organism: Lytechinus pictus (painted urchin)
Lineage: Eukaryota; Metazoa; Echinodermata; Echinoidea; Temnopleuroida; Toxopneustidae
Exons: 3
Source: RefSeq, a predicted model, not a curated record